CACCCAAUAAUAAUAUUAUGGUAAAAGGGAUGAUCAUUAGUCAAAAUGUAGAUAAUGGCAGCUAAAUUUGUUUUAAUAAGAAGUGGUUUGAUAUUGCGAGUCGUUGCAAUUGUCAGUCCUUGUCUUAACGCUAGCAACUUAGCCAUAGUGGGGGUGGUGUGGAGCAUGUGCUGGUAGUACCGAAGGACCCAAUUCCCAAUAUGGUAUCUAAAGGCCUCUCCAAGUCCAUCUGCACUAAGGUUGGCAGCAACUGACUCAUCUGUGUUCAGCUUUAGGUGGCCAGGUUUAGAAGGAUCCUAUUUGAUGUUAAUGAUAAUUUGCGGUGUGCUUGCAGUGCUAUUGUCUCCGAAAAGAAGGAUGAAUUUCGAUGCCAAAGCAAGGGCAUUUUGGACAUAGAUGAGAUUAUUUUUGUUGCUGAAAGUGUUAGUCAUUUUUGGCUAGUCAAAUAACCUAGAGGGAGUGUCAAAAUUGAGCUUCCCAGAGAAGCCAGGUGUUGAAAGGCUUCCCCCUGAGGCUCUUUGACAAAUUGAACCAGUUGUUGGAGUUGAUGGUUUCCCAGGCAUUAGGAGGUUUGUAGAUGCCUUCGUUUGCCAGGUUAGUACAGAAAUGUGCAGCAUUAUGGCACAGGAAAAUUAUGUGGAUGGUAGUUUCUUCUUGAUUAGUACACACCUGAAAUUGGGUUGGGAUGUUGAGAUCAAUGUGAUUAAAAUAGUUGUUGCUAGGAAUUCUGUUAGGGGAAUUCUGUGAUUAACCAGAGGAAGGGUUUCACUUUGUUAGGGGCUAUGGCUUUCCACACAAGGUUAAAUCUUUGGUCUGGGUAUUUAACUGGUCUAGUUCCC
This 839-nucleotide long non-coding RNA is filed under the name Capsicum annuum. RNAcentral's name for it is "long non-coding RNA (CANN_LNC018836)". Lineage: Eukaryota; Viridiplantae; Streptophyta; Magnoliopsida; Solanales; Solanaceae. The record is from RNAcentral.